This 466-nucleotide ribosomal RNA is filed under the name Ovis aries (sheep). RNAcentral describes it as "partial 12S ribosomal RNA". The record is from RNAcentral. Lineage: Eukaryota; Metazoa; Chordata; Mammalia; Artiodactyla; Bovidae.
AUAGGUUUGGUCCCAGCCUUCCUGUUAACUUUCAAUAGACUUAUACAUGCAAGCAUCCACGCCCCGGUGAGUAACGCCCUUCGAAUCACACAGGACUAAAAGGAGCAGGUAUCAAGCACACACUCUUGUAGCUCACAACGCCUUGCUUAACCACACCCCCACGGGAGACAGCAGUAACAAAAAUUAAGCCAUAAACGAAAGUUUGACUAAGCCAUAUUGAUCAGGGUUGGUAAAUCUCGUGCCAGCCACCGCGGUCAUACGAUUGACCCAAGCUAACAGGAGUACGGCGUAAAGCGUGUUAAAGCAUCAUACUAAAUAGAGUUAAAUUUUAAUUAAACUGUAAAAAGCCAUAAUUAUAACAAAAAUAAAUGACGAAAGUAACCCUACAAUAGCUGAUACACCAUAGCUAAGACCCAAACUGGGAUUAGAUACCCCACUAUGCUUAGCCCUAAACACAAAUAAUUAU